RNAcentral lists this ribosomal RNA (497 nucleotides) under uncultured bacterium. RNAcentral describes it as "partial 16S ribosomal RNA". It matches the Rfam family "Bacterial small subunit ribosomal RNA", at positions 28 to 507 of the family's 1533-position model. The record is from RNAcentral.
GAUGAACGCUGGCGGCGUGCCUAAUACAUGCAAGUCGAGCGAACAGAUGAGGAGCUUGCUCCUCUGACGUUAGCGGCGGACGGGUGAGUAACACGUGGAUAACCUACCUAUAAGACUGGGAUAACUUCGGGAAACCGGAGCUAAUACCGGAUAAUAUAUUGAACCGCAUGGUUCAAUAGUGAAAGACGGUUUUGCUGUCACUUAUAGAUGGAUCCGCGCCGCAUUAGCUAGUUGGUAAGGUAACGGCUUACCAAGGCAACGAUGCAUAGCCGACCUGAGAGGGUGGUCGGCGAGAUGGGAAGUGAGACAGAGUACAGACACCGGCAGGGAGCAACAGUCGAGAAUCUUACGGGAGGGAGGAGAGGCGAAUGUGGCAAAGCCGCGGAAAGGAUGAAGGUGUUAUGAUCGGGGAACGCUGUUAGUAUGAAAGAACAAAUGUGUAAGUAACUGGGAACAUAAUGACGGUACCUAAUCAAAAAGCCACGGCUAACUACGUG